RNAcentral lists this long non-coding RNA (485 nucleotides) under Ananas comosus (pineapple). RNAcentral describes it as "long non-coding RNA (ACOM_LNC002604)". Lineage: Eukaryota; Viridiplantae; Streptophyta; Magnoliopsida; Poales; Bromeliaceae. The record is from RNAcentral.
AAUCAAUAUAUAAUUUGUUGAAUAUAUUUUAGGAUAAAUUUCAAAUAGCACUCCUAUGAUUUCACAUUUUCUCACUUUAAUAACUUGCGGUUUAAAGUGUAUCAAGUUAGUGUACCGUAGUUUCAUUUUUAUUUUUUCAUCAGCUUUUUCGUUAGUAUUUCAUUAAAUUAUAUGCAAAAAAUUCAAAUAUCUCACCUAGGUUUAUCGAAUAUUUACUUUAAUACUUUUUAGUUUUAACUUUAUCACUGAUUUAAAAAAAAAAUAGUAAAAUUAAUAAUAAAAAAAUAAAAAUAAAAUCACAGGGUACUAAAUUGAUACACUUUAAACCACAUGAUACUAAAAUGCGAAAAUGUGAAAUCACAAUAAUAGUAUUUGAAGUUUUUCCUAUAUUUUAUAACAUGCGAAUUUCUUAUGUAUAAAAUAAUCACCUUUUUUGAAUGUCUAUUCAUCGCAAAUUUUUAGCAUGCCAUUUUAUAUUUUCAUUU